Apis mellifera (honey bee) is the source of this 127-nucleotide non-coding RNA. The record is from RefSeq and is marked provisional. NCBI's taxonomy places the organism in Eukaryota, Metazoa, Arthropoda, Insecta, Hymenoptera, Apidae.
UGACUUAGUAAAACGGUAAGAUCUGUAAAUUAGAUGAUAUAUGAUAUACUUAUAUGAUAUAUUAUAUGAUAUAUUAUAUGAUAUAUUAUAUUAUAUCUUAUAUAUUUAUAUCCUUAUUAUUAUAUUU